GCGCCGUUGCUUAGCAACGGAGGUUGGCGUUGCCCGGGGAAUUGGAUCCCUGCUCCGCUGCGGAAAGCGGACCGCCGGGACAGACUUGCUCUCAAACUUUUGUGGGCGCUGCUUCUCGGCGCUGUAGCUUUGCUUAUUUCUGUGGGCUUUUCUUGCCGUGUUUUUUUUUUCCGGAUAGCUCCUGAAGCCCAGCCGAGUCCCAGAGCCAUGGAGGUAGCGAUGUCUAAGGACCUACAACAGGAGGCCAACCUAGCCAAGAAGCGGUACAUUGACCUGUGCAGGCAGGGACGGAUCUUCGACGCCAGGAACAGGAUCAUUGGGGGAGACACACAAGCCUGGGAUUUUCAAGUCCGUGACCAGAAGAUAAAAGAAAUAACUGACAAAGCUAGGCAUGAAGCCUUUGCUGCUGAAAUGAAGCACAAUGACAAAGUCAUGUGCAUGGCGCAUGACCGGGAACAGAGGCACAGGAAACAGCUGUGUAGAGCUAUCAAUGACUUCCAGCAGAACUUUCAGAAGCCAGAAACUCGACGUGAGUUUGAUCUUUCUGACCCCCUGGCCCUCCAGAAAGAGCUUCCAGCCCGCAUUUCAGACAAUGACAUGCGGAACACCAUAUCAGGAAUGCAGAAGUUCAUGGGAGAGGAUUUAAACUUCCAAGAGAGGAGGAGGUUCCAAAAGGAACAGAGCAGAGAAUGGUUUCUGCAGCAGCAUGGGGAACGGGAGAAAGCCCGGGCUGACCACCUACUGGCAGUGUCUUCACAGGAUGAAGAUGAGAUUGAAAUCAUCGCACAGCCUACAGGUUCUCCAUGCUGGGCCUUUGCCUACCUGGACCACACCAGCUCGUUCAUGGCGUUUCAAACGUUGUGGCUCUUUCACCUUGAGCUUCCAUCCUGUCUCUCCCACCUCAGGUCCUCUGCACCUGCCCUGACCAUUUAGUCCUUCAGAGAUGAAUAAACGUGGUCUCCUAGAGAAGCUCUUUCUUGGGCCCUAUCCUCCAACCUCCCAAGCCAGGCAUUCCCUGUAUUCUCUCUCCCCCUCCCUUUCCUCUAUGACUAUCACCCUUUGUUUAUCUCGUUUCUCUAUGUUAUGUAUGCGUCCUGAGCAAUAUGGGGCCCUAUCUCUGCUCUUUGUCACCCUCUGGAACAUGGAUUAGCAAAUGAAGAAUGAGCUGAGGGUGAAGGUGUACUGAGGCCAUAGAGUCAAGGCUAAAGAGACUGUCCCUGUGGGGCUGGGAUGUAGCACAGUGUUGGAGCGCUUGCCUAGCAUGUGAGGCCCUGCAUCCCCAGCACAAGGAAGAGGCUGCGUCCUUUGGUUUGGGAAAUAUGAUGGAGCCCCUCAAAGCACAAGCACAGAAAGUCACUGCUGGCCAGUGACUUUCCCAGUCUAUCGCACACCAGCCCUGAGCCUCACAGGCAAGGGUGGGGCACAGAGGUUAACCAACAGCUGCUGUUAACAGUGCUGGGCCACAUCUUGAAGCCUGUUCUGGCUACAGGCCUUUACACUUCACUCCUCGUGCCCGUGACCUUCAUCCUUCACUGGCCCAGCAAAGUUCUGCUACUGCUCCACAAGUAUCUGUGACCUGGCGCUCUACCCUGGGUCUUGACUGGUUUCCGUAGCCUUUUGUCCUGGGUUCCUACCACUUCUUGCCUUUGUAAGGCUGAAACCAUCUCCUGAUAGGCCAAAGUUAGCAAGGCCUAACUAAUCUACCUCAGGACUGCUGCAGAUAUCAUGAAUUCACAACAAAUAUCAUCGAUCCAUAGAGAUUGCUUUAGUACCCCUUGCUCACAAAGAUGUAGGAGCCACACUUAAAUCUCCUAGAACCUGUGAGGCAUAUACACUCCUCUCCCUCCACUCACUCCCCCCCUUCUCUCCCAUGGUAAGGGAUGAGAGUGAAUCACCAUUGGGUGGUGCUUCUGGGUGAUGGCAUCGUAUCUCCUGGCAGAACACCUCCACACUCAGACGAGACUCAAGUUUGAUGAAACAGCCAGAGAGUUGAUGAAGCUGGAAGGCUCCACCAGGAAGGAAGUCUGCGCAGCCGUGAAAGCGUUCAACAAGAAUCAGCUUCAGAGGAUUAUCACCGUGAUGGGAGCGCGGCAGCACGCAUGGUUCUGGAGAAGUCGCUGAGAACUUUUCAUCCGGAUCCGCAGGCGCUGAGAGACAGACACUGGGCCUGGUGUGGACACCUCCGAAUCCUUUUGAUCCCUUUGGGAGCCAUUCUUAUUCAAACUACUAUAGUCUUCCCACCUCAAAUGAUCUCCCCUCACCCCCGCGAAAAAGUCCCUCGCAGCUUGAGUUUUAGUUAAGUCCAGAUGUAGUCAAAUUGACAACCAAGAGUAACCAUCACACCACCUCUUGACUGUACAGAGAAAUACCUAUAGUCUAGAGAGGGCAGGCGACUUACUAUACAACUCACACAAUCCCUCACCGCCGGGCUUUGACUGGUGAGUGAACAGGAACUCAUUUGUAACCGGAGCCAUGCUGAAACUGUCUGGACUGCUGGGGCAGCAGUGCACUUCCACCCUUAGAAGUCACCCUGUGUUGGCUUGUUGUGCACAAGUAUCUAAGAGUUUUAGGGAACACGGGGUGCACUGCCUAGAGACAAGCCAGUGGGGCAGUGUCUUGCUUUGACAAGCUGGUAUAGAAAUUCACCGUUGUACACACUGCUGUGGGGAAUGACCCAAGGCCCAGCCACUGCCCAACAGUGCUCUAAUAGCUGGGGUCCGCAGCCUGCAGCCAGGGCUUCAGAUGGGAGGUCUUGACCCUGCAAACACUCCAGCGUAUUCUGAGGUCCUUCCCUGUACAGGUUGUGGAGUUGACAGAAAGAAAGAGGCAAGAGAAGCAACAAGAACAAGAAGACAACAUGACCGAGAUCACCAACCUGCUGCAUGGAGACCUGCUUUCUGAGAACCCUCGACCGGUGGCCAGCUCCUUUGGGUCUCACCGUGUGGUCCUUGACCGCUGGAAGGGCAUGAACCGAGAGCAGCUGGAGGAGAUCUGGUUCACGCAGAAGCGGCAAAUCCAGGAGAAGCUGAGGCUUCAGGAGGAAGAGCGCCAGCACAGCAUGGACUGGGAUUUGCGCAGGAUCCGGAAGGCUCAUGCCAGCCUGCUGCAUGAGCGGCAGCAGCAGCGCUUGCUUCGGGAGCAGCGCAGGGCCCUGGACUGCAGCAACCUCAACCUGGCCAGGCAGCAGUACUUACAGAAAAAACAAAUGAAUACAGCCUCCUCAAGUCAGCCCACAGAAGACUAUUUCUCACAGUUUAAUACAAGGAGCCGCUGAGAGAACCGACUGCUUUCCUUGUUUAUAGUAGUUCCUCUAGGAGUCACGCUUAUUUCAAAGUGAAUCUGCUCCUUGGUCUGAACACCCCGUAUGGGCAUGUGCACAUGCGGUCAGGCUCUGCUCUGGGAAGAGCUCUAACAUGGCUUUGGGUGCUGUGGACAUAGGACACAGUGAACCAUUCCAGAGAGGCUACACUGAGGCCUGUGUGCUGCUCAAGCUCCAAGCUGGCUGCUCAGCCAUUCUCUGACUCAGUGACUGACCAUCAUAGGUGUUGUUCGUGUGCCCCAUGAAGCACUUCUUCCUCAGCUUCUCACCCACCAUAAAGAGGCACCAACCUGCUUACCA
This is an RNA transcript of Mus musculus (house mouse), 3619 nucleotides long. It is a transcript of the gene named RIB43A domain with coiled-coils 2, with no coding region annotated. The transcript has 7 exons. The record is from RefSeq and is marked validated. NCBI's taxonomy places the organism in Eukaryota, Metazoa, Chordata, Mammalia, Rodentia, Muridae.